GGUUCUUAGAUAUGCACAAGAUAUUGAAGACAAAUCCUCCAUACAGGAAAUCAGAAGAUCUUCUAAAUCUAGAAAUUGAAGUAAAUGUUUCCCUAACAACAGAAACCCUGCUCUAACUUGACAAAUUAAGGUGACCUUAAGCUCAACUACAUCAGAUUGUUCAGGAGGAAAUCAACAUCAGGAGUGACAACAGCCCGUUUUCCGAGUUCUCCCAGCUGACAACACUGCUUCUCAGCAGUGUUGAUUGCAACAACAUCUUGAGAAAAAGAGCAUUCUACACCAGGAGAAACAUCGUAUAGAAUGUCUCCAAGCUUCAAUUUAAUUGCUCCACUCUUGUAAACCAGCAUUUUCCCCAUGCUUCCCGCGGGCAACUCUUGCAAACUGCACACUUUGUUUGUAGUAUUAUUAUGUCGUCUGGAGAUUGUAGAGCUGUCAGAUAUCUCUUUCCCUUUUGCACUGGCAAGAAAUCUGGGAGCACUGCCAGCAACUUCUUUUCCCUUAAGCAUAGGUGAUGACAAUGUUGCAGCUUUGUCACUUUUGUCCCCUGGCAAUGUCAAGCUGACAGCAGUAUCUCUACCUCCUGUGCUAGCUUGCAACUUGCUUAGCGGUAAAUUAGCAGGAAGCUGAAGAAAAAGAAGCUGCACAUCAUCCUUCUUUUCCAGUAAGCCAAGCUCUGAAGCAGGAUUUAUAUUAUUUUCAUCAUACUCAGCAUUUUUUGCAGCCUCUCCAAAUUCAGCUUCAUUUAAAAUUUCUGGAUCUCCAGCAUAUGGUCUUCUCAGAGGAAGGGUUACAGGAUAGUUGCUAUGAUGGUAAUCCCAAGGUUCUUUAUACUCUUUCUUCCUUUUAAGUAAAGAAUCUGAAUUAUUGACUGACAUUUCAGCAAGAUCUGGUCCAGUACUUGAAGGUAAAGUAGGUAAAGAAUCAAUGUCCAUGUUAUCACAAGAUUCAUUGUCUUUCAGAGUACUAUCCUGAUUGACAGUGAGUUCCCUAGACUUCCCAGAAGUCUUUGUGGAAGUUGGUGAUGCUACUCCAUGAGCAAAUGCAACCUCA
This 1050-nucleotide unclassified non-coding RNA is filed under the name Hevea brasiliensis (rubber tree). Lineage: Eukaryota; Viridiplantae; Streptophyta; Magnoliopsida; Malpighiales; Euphorbiaceae. The record is from RNAcentral.